Molecule: long non-coding RNA, 10716 nt
Filed under: Orbicella faveolata
Lineage: Eukaryota; Metazoa; Cnidaria; Anthozoa; Scleractinia; Merulinidae
Description: uncharacterized LOC110042011, transcript variant X6
Source: RNAcentral
AAUUCACCAUACGCUUUCGGCCAAUCCAAAGAGAGAUAGUGAGUUCAAUGUAUAAUAAUGGAAAUAAUCCAAUAUAUACUCAAAAGGUCUGUGGUCUGCUAUCUGCAUUUUACCCCUCAGUCUGCAUUUUACCCCCGGUCUGCAGUCUACAGUCCGCAGUCUGUGUUCUACACUGACCAGCAAGAAUAGCCUCCGGCAGCCAGGGUAUUACAAAGGGGAGACCACUUCAAACCAUGAGAUAAUAGUCACUGGGGUAGGCUCAAUAAUACUUUAUUACCAAUUUGUAAAAGUCAUUUCGCUGAAUUGAGACCAUGAAAUCAUUUGAUAAGAACAGCAAUGUGGCCGAUCAAAUGACCAGUUAGCGAAAGCCUAGAUUUCUUGGUCUUCCUAUAGCCCCUUACCAUCAAAUUCUCGUAACCAUCCCAAAUAACGAAUAAGAAAACCUGUAAGGAGAACUGGUAUUUUCAUCCUUAGGAUCGAGUGCUCUGUGAGACAUAAAAGACGUUUUAGUGAUAACAAAACAAGCUUUGUUCAGUUUUGUGUCUGCAGUCGUAUUAACCCAAUCAUUUAACUUUCAUCCUCAGGGUUUUCCCAUUAAAGCGCCACGUGAGGACAAUGGUCAAAGCAAACGAAGAAAUGAAGAAAAGGUCACCAGUUUGAGCGAGGCGGACAAUUUCUGUAGCAUGUUUUUGUAGAUUUUGUUUGUAUAAUAGAGUGUAAAUUGCACCAAUAUUAAAAAGACAUUGCUUUCCUUCAUGUUGUGAAAUUAAGCUUAUAAUCGUAAAUCGUAUUGAGUUUGUUGUCCUAAACGCGUCAAGAGUAUUUGUGUAGUUUGUGGAUCACGUCUUGCAGAUUUGCUUAGCUUGCUAUCAAUAUCUUUAACAGAUAAUUCUUUGCCCUGAUAAUGUAGAACAAGAACGUUUGAAAUACAUACCCUUUUAGCUCACUUGGUGCAGUUAAUCUCUCUACAUCGCUCUGUUGCGCGAUCGACGCUAAUGCAAAGUUAACGCGCUACCCUUGUCCGGGCGACCAGGUGCGCCCUGGGGCGACUUGUCCCCAGACCCCCAGACAAUCGCAACAAAAUUGUGCGCUCAACUGACGUGACUGUAAAAUAUUAGCCAUGAACGCCCAUACUUUUUUGGUCGCUUCGGCCACUUGUAAGUGAUUGUACAGGGUGGGCCGAGUAUUUUACUCGUGUUUUCAUCAUCAGGAAUUUCCGCAGGGCAUCAACCCUGCAUAGUCUCCCGUUUGUCGUCACGCAACGCUUCACCCCCUGUGGAAAGUUAGUAGCGUUUAUAGUAGAAGCGUUGUGUGACCAACUAUGUAACAGCUGCGAAGGAGUCUAGGUAAGGGUGCGUUCCUUUGGGGUAAUCUGGAUCAGGAUCAGUGAUCCUAGAUCGCUCGGAUCAUGGUGCAUCAAAGGAGCCGAUGAAUUCGUGACCAGAAUGGAUUCAUCGGUUCCUUUGAUUGGCCAUAUAUGAUCUGAGUAAUCUUGGAUCACCGAUCUUGACCCAGAUUACUCUAGAGGGUCCAACCCAAAAGUCUGCAUCUCCGAAACGUAGAUCGCGAUUUGCAAAAUUUGUUUUACGAGGGAAGUUGCAAUUGCUUGUAAAGGGCAAUUUGUGAUAAGACAUUGUUGGUCUUCCCAUAGGUCAGGAGAUUCUCGGAUUAACUAUGUUUGCCAGGCGUGCAUUUCGAAAGACAUUAUUCGCAAGUAGAUGCUAGUAGAAAACUUGGGUCUACUUGCGACUCCGUUUGGCCAGACCUUACGCACACUUACACUGACUUGCGAUCACGAGACCUCGAGAUCGAAUUUGCACGUAAUUCGACGCAAGUAUACAGUAAAUGAACCAACAUUAACUCUAUCAACAGAACGAGUGACAACACAUGGAGUAAAGAAAAAUGGUCUGAUAAGGCGAAAAAGUCAAAGAAAAGGCAUUAUAACAGUGUAGUUACCCCAAUAAAUGUCAAUUUCGUGGUUUAAGUCUACUUGUUUUGUUUUGCGCGCGAACAGCAACAGAUACGAUGUGUCAGCGAAAAGUCAAGAAAAUGCGCUUUAUUUUUUCUAACAUGACGCAACUGCGGACAUAAAUGCUCAUCUCCAUAUCCAGUGAUUGAAAUAACACUUCUUUCAAUUUUCGGUGCCUCCUCAUUUCUCGGAAACCAAGUGUAUUCACAGUUGGAGAGAGAUCAACAUAAUCAAAGCUGCACGUCUGACACGCAGCCCAAGGGCAAAUAUUUUGACCUGGAUAUGCUCAAGCGAACGAAGAUAGCAAUCACCUACACAAUUUCUGGCGUUACUAAGCUUCUUAGAUUUCUUUGUACGGGUAUAGAAGUGACGCGAAUAAAAAUAGCCGUGGUUCUUACAACAGGAAAAGGCGCGCAUUUAAGAAAACGCACUACAACCGCGAGGCUGUUGCGGUUAUUAGUCGACGUGGGCAGCCACCCAAUAUCAACAAAAAUCUGCUUAUGAAAGUAAUUUCUGGCCGUUUUCGUCUACACAAACAAGUAGCUCUGACGCAAUUGGCGCCGACAAAGUUCAUACGUGGGCGCGCUUCGAAUCCAGGUCAUAUGCACCUUAGAAAUUCACACUCUGUAAGAAAGAUAGGCAUAAAUAAAGGCGCACUUCCAACAAGCCACGCAAGGGCAAAUAUUUCACUUCUGAUACGCUAAGGUAAAUAACUGUUUCGAUCAGCUAUACGUUUUCGUAUCUUGGGUUUCCCUGUGUUCGUCAGGAAGCGAUGCUAGUUAAAAAAUGAAAACAACCAACAGGGACAGGCGCGCGCGAGAAGGGACGCGUGGACCCUUUUAUGAUGGAACGGAUUUUAUUCGUCUAGGUCUACUCACAAAACAACCACAUACGAGUAGUGCACUCUCAAAACAGCUUUCAAGCCACAACAUUCCUGCUCUACUGCAAAAGUCUAAUUCAUUUGUAUUCACUUUGUACGCUCAAGGUCAAAAAUUGCAUACCAUCACUUGUAAGGCUUAGAAAAAGGACCAAUUGCUGUCAAAAUGGAAUUACCCUACACUUUCUAAUCAGGAUAUAAUGCGCCGUCGACAAGUCGUAAAUGAGUAUAGACUUCGGACACAUUAGUCUGUUCAAAAUCGGUUCUCUCCUUUCUUCCUGCUCCGCCCACUGGACUUGAAUUAUUCCAUUCAAGAGUACAGGGAAAGAUCAGAGAUUUGAUAAUCCACACACAAGAAAAUAGAGCUUGCUGCAAAGACAAAAAGGAGUUUUAAACGAGAAGCAACUCACAAGAAAUCAAAUUCAAACCAGGAAGAAACGAAUGUGGAGCUAAAAUAUUCGUUCGCGUCGAAGAGACUGAAAUUAACUGCGAGGAAAUACAUAAACAAACGCACAGCCAGCAGUCGCACGAGAAUGAAACGUGCGCGCGAGAGGGCGCGUGAAUCUAUUAAAAGCACACCCACGACUAACACACGCACGCCAGUGAGAAAAACAACGCAACCUUUCCGUAGCACUGUAGCGAGAAAGAAAUAAAGGUCAUGUUUUGUGCCUAGAAAAUUGUGCAUACGUAAUAUUUCAAAUAUAAUUAUUGGCUUACGUUUAUAAUCUCGAUGGUUUUAGAACUUGAUGACUUCACGUGAAAAUGAUCUUAGGACGAUCCGUUCAAAAUCGGUUCUCUCCCAUCCUCCUGCUCCGCCCACUGAGCUAAAAGAUACAUUCCAUGACGUCGGUGUCCCAAAGACCUAAUUUGAAUAAAUGUUUGUUUAUCGAAGCAGAUUUCCAGAAUAAAAUUGGUCACGCGAAAACAACCAUUCGCUAUAAAAGACGGAAACAUCUAUCUAAACGAUCUGACGAAAAAUGGCACUUUUUGGUCCACACGAUCCUACAAACGACUUUUUUGAAGAGGUGCGUCUUGGAAGGCGAUUUCCUCUGUGCUGUUCCAAUGUCAUGUUACGGUAUGACUCAAGCACUGGAGAUUUCACGGCCCUGAAUGGACGAAUUAUCCGAAAAACGCCACAACGAACACAAAAGAACACAGCAACUGCACUAACGGUCAAGGCUAAGGGAGGAUGCGAAUUCCACAUCAGGCGAAAUCCAGGAGGAGGAUACCGAGUCGACAAUUGUUGCACUUGGAUAAAAGUUGAGACAAUGUACAAGAUUUCAAAGUACUAAGAAUGUUAUGGAAAGCUUGGAUGUCUGCAGACUGCUCAGGCACCAUUCUAUAGUGUUAAGUCAAUAAAGUACACAUAUAUGUGCUAAAAAAUACACAUGUAGGUGUAAUUUUUUAAGAAGAUUUACAGUCUGAAAAUGCAUCCUUCGCAUGACCAAGUUUUACUCGCUAACAGACUGAAAAUAUACAGUCUACUUGUGCGUUAAAUGGCCCGUGUAAAUAUUUUGGGCAAGUUUCGCGCGAGCAUAUAGAAGCGCGCGGGUCAAAAUGCGGUAUAAAAUUUGACAGGCGAGCCAUCAGCUUUUAUGCGCACAACUUUCGGCACCUCUGCAUUAGCAAAUUAUUUGCUUUGCGCGAACUACAACACAUAUUCCGGCAACAGCGAAGGGCAACAAAUCAGCAAGGACUCGAGAAAAUGCGCUAUUUUUCAAAACAUGAGGAAGUUGCGGACAUAAAUGCUCAGCUCCAUGUGCAGUGAUCAAAUUAACACUGCUUUGAAUCUUCAAUCCCUCCUUCUUGCUUUGUGCGGAAACUAAUUGUAAUCGCAGUUAGAGAGAGAUCACAUAAUUAAAGCCGCGCGUCUGCCAAGCAGCCCGAGGGCAAAUAUUUUGAUAUACUCGCAUAACUAGAUGAACAUGACAAUCAGCUCCACUAUUUCUGCGUUACUAAGAUUCUUAGAUUUCUUUGUACGCGCUUUAAAGUGACGCGAAUAAAAAAUAGCUGUGUACAUGUAAAAGGAAAAGGCGCGAGACGAAAAAGACGCCCUAAACGCGCGAAAUUUUUGCGGUUAUCAACAAAGAUCUACUCACAAAGGUUUUUUCUGGCCGCUUUUGUCUGCGCAAACACGUCAUUGGCGUCGAUAAACCUAAUAGGUGGGCGCACUUCUAAUCCAUGUCAUAUGUAACUUAGAAAAACCUCUUAUCCAUACCGCUCAAGAAGUUUCAUAUUUCGCAGACUUGCCGCCACAUUCGUCUUCAAAAGCUGAACAUUAACGAGCCGAAGAACAAUUUUGUUGAAAUGAUCAGAAUUUGGGAGCACCAUUACAGUGUCAAUCCUGUGGCAAUCAUAAUUUAUGCCUGAAGUGGAGCAAUUGAAGUCCAGUUAGGACGAAAGAUUUCGGGAAAUAGGGAUCGCUUCAAGCUCGUAACAUCAGACGCAGAAAUCGUUGAAAUUCAGCGAAAGCGUGAAACAGGUUACGAGAUUAUCAAAGGAGGACACGUUCUCACAAAGAAAAGAAUAUAUUAUGAGUGAGCUUCGACAGCACGUUGACGAGAUUGACCGCGAAAGGAAGACGCCUUAGCAAAAGGAUUCAAUGAUGAUGUGACUGAUCGAUAAAUAAAAUCAGUGAAAUAUCAACUUUGUGUAAUUGUUUUGUGUGAAAUGGCUCGUCAUUUGUGCGCGCAAAGUAUAGCGUAUUUCACAGCCUUUGGGACAUAACAAAACUUAAGAUGAAAACACGAAUCUCGCGCGUAGAAAGAUGUCAUGCAAUGUGCCAAGCGUCUAGAAACAUCGAUUGAAACCCACGAGGUGCUAAUGAUCCGAAUCUAUUUUCCCUCUACCUCUAACCCUCCCAUUUAUAAUUGCACUAACCAUAUUCAAUAUGCGACAAGCAAAGCCAAAGGGCAAAUACUUCAACUUUCUCAGGAAAAAAAUAUACAGGACUGCUAAGUUCGACAAAUAUUAGAAACAGGUUUAGAGCCAUGCAACCGACGAUGACGCAAAGCUUCGAUUCUAUUUGACAGGUUCAAAAGAAAGAAAUCACUAACGAGCGUUUGCACGCUACCGCGCGCAUAUGGGAGACGCGUUUUCACGCGCGCGCGUGUGAGAGAACGUGCUGGUUGACAGAGACUACUAAAAUUAGAUUAUUCUGGUGCUGCCGUCAUUAAGGUAUUAGCAUAAUUUGCGCGCAUGGUCGGUUUAUCACUCGCCGAUUCAAGCACGUUGUUCUGAGCAAGAGUGAGGGCAGUUUCCACUUAAAGAUUACAAUUUCAGUUUCGAAUCAAACCCAAUAUGGCCCAGCCGGGAGAUCCUGUAAAUGAUUUUAUCGAAUUCGUUCAAGUAUGGGGAGGUGUCCUCAGCAACUAUCUGGAAGCGGUCAUAAUGUACGACUCACGAAGGCGGAGAGAAUAUACCAUGGAAGAUGGAAGCGGAAAGGACAUCACCAUGUCUAAAACUUUUUUUGCCAACUUAUCAAAACCAAGCUUAGCGACUUGAGCAAGAAUCAGGAAUUACAGAGGAUGCUUGCCGAUCUAGGGUAUCAACUGAAUCUGUAAACUUCAAGUGUAGGCCAACCACCUACGCUUCGCGCGUAUAUAGUUAAACUUUUAAAAUACUUGUACUGCGGUAGAAACGAGACGGAACUGUAUAUAUAAUCAAACAGCCCAACGAAUAGUAAAUGAUAAAUGCGCUUCCAACACAAGCAUUCUAAGAAAAACAUCUCGUUUAAUUAAAUGCCAUGUCAUGUCUCGAAAUGCUCAGAGCCACACGCGCGCGGUGCAGGAGAUCCAAAUUGGUUCUCUCCCUACCUUCGCUCCUCCCCUUCCUAAGGUGGACUGAUUAACAAGCAUUCUUUGUUCUUGAGUCAGAUACCUCACGCUAGGAACAAGCCUCAUGGAAUUAAGUUUUUAUAACAAGCCAUUUUGCUCUUCAAUGUUGGGAAAUCUGUACUUAACGCAUUUGGCUAUUUGCUUAAAUGUGUGCAUUCUGUAAAGUUAUCAAAUCAUAGAGCCGCUCUAAAACUGUCUAAACGACAAUUUUGAUUCUAAACUGCGAUGCAAAUAAACGAAGCGCGCAUAUCACGCAACAUUGAGAUCAGUCCACAAAGACUGGCUAAAAAAGAUUCCAGAGUAAAAUGUGGCGCUCACGAAGACUUUUGUCGUUUUAUCCUGUUACACACGGCCACAGCUAGUAAAAUUUAUCAAUCGAGUAAGCCAUUCCAUUUCUCAUCGAAACUGACUGUAAAGAUACUUCACAGAAAUGCUACGAAAUGCUAACUGAACGAAACGAGGCAGUCUAAAUUCGGACAAAAACUAUCAUGAGAACUUAACACUUAAAUCAGAAGAGACAGUGAAUCAGAAUUUCACGAUCUACGUACUACCUUCCGUUUCAAGUACAACAACAGGCCUAGUCGAAACAAUUAGAUGGAACAAGACCGAGCUUAGAGCGCAGAUUAUUAAGCCAUACAUCAGUUUAGAAACAAAUAAGAGGAAACGCACCUUCAAUUGCGUCCAUUUCUCCAUAGCUCUUCUCUACUCAAACUGUAUGUCCCAAACACAAUAUUUACGAACAUUAAAAUCUCUCUGAAACAUUGUUUUUUCUACUGCGCAAUAAACAUCGCAGAACGACUGGAACUUUCCUUGCCUCUUAAAUAGCCCCAGAAAAUUUAAAGUGUGACGUUUACACUUUUAUGAGAAGCUAUUGGUCGCGCACUUUUAUUUUGUUGGGACGCACAUUCCCCAAAGCACCUAGGGCGAAACGUCAUUGGAGGAGGUCAGGCCAUAAUUUGGCAGCUUGUCAAUCAACGUCUUCAUUCACGAACAAUGAUAUGUCUUUCUUAGGCACUCGAUUAUUCUCGUGCUUGUGUGAUCAAUAAACAAAAUUACACAAUGGUGUUUCGAUACAACACACUAGAUGCUAGGAAAGCUGAGCGCUUAAUCGUUACGAAGACUUUCCUUUACAUAGAAACGUAAUGAAUCGAUCAAUGGAAGGAGUUCCAGAGGUUUCCUCGUACUUUUCUCCAUAAAGCAAAAUGGGCAACACAUUCGUAAGAAGAAAGACAGAAUCUACGAAACAGACACAUCUACCUCACGUCUUUUGGAAGAAUCGCGACAGAAAACGAAUUCACACGUAUUUCAUUUGCUUAUUUGUGUCAUACUUGGAAUGUCUUAAUGCCUUGAUGUUAUAGCGUUCCUUUUCUUUAGCAGUGCAUAACAACGUGGUAAGACACAACAAGCACAAAUAAACAAUCCAGAUCAAAAAAAAUAGUGACUCAACGUUCAGGUUCGAGGAUAAAGCUCCUCAAGAACCAUCUAAAUUCAAACUAUUUUAAUAUAAUUAAAAUUACAAUCAUAACAACUUAUCAAAUAUUAUGAUAGAUUCCCCAGUAAGACACUUGAAGCUUAAGUCCUGACCAGGCUCCUUGGACAAGACACCCUACCCUCUCCUCCCUGGUGUAUAAAUGGGAACUAGCAAAUUUUGCCGUUUGGCGUUUGAUCUAGCCAUCUAACAGAAUGCUAGAAGCUGUACUAGUGUGCUGUUUACCAGCAUCCAUCUCAGAGGAAGAACUCAUAUUGCUAGAGGUUUUAUGGUAUGAAAAAACAUACUUUAAAACCACACACAAGUUUAGCUCGUUUUGUGAGUAAUUUGCCCCAAAGACUGUUGGCUUCAUUCGAUAUUCUCCAACAAAUUGGCGUAAGUUAUACUUGUGAACGUAUAGCCAUUAAAUUGGCUACAUUCAACAUAUAAGGGUUGUUUUUCCCUGACAUUAGGCUGACUAAAAGAUGGCCACAGAUCCAUUUUGAUCACUCGGUGAUCGAGUCCUCUAGAACAUCCUAAUGAAACAGUACAACCCCGAGCAGCCAUAACGAUUGCGACUAAAUCAUGUCUGUCUGCUUCAUGUUCUCUAGAAGUUCAAAGCCAGCAGUUCAGCAAGGUAGAUACGUCAAACUGUACAAACUCGACAAAGUUUGUCCUCUUGUAAAAUGUCAAAUAAACACCACACGAAAAUAUGGCGACAAAGAUUCCAUUAGAAUAUUCACACACUAUUGUUUUAUCCAAAGUUCAAAGCUAACGCCACCUUGUACAAGAUAGUAAACAGUACGACCUGAAAAAACUGCUUUCAAUAGCUUUCAUUAGAAUUUAAUCCAGACUUGUUAAACCACCUUGUUCAGCAUAAUAAACAGAACCAUAAGAAAGUAUUCUUCGAUAGCUUUCACAUGAACGGUCACACAACGAAGUUUCGUCCACAGACUGAAAAGUUAGAACCACCUUGUACAGCAUAAUAAACAGUACCACGUGAAAUUACUGCUGAAUAGCUUUAUUUUAAUGGUCACACACUGGGGUUUCACCCAGAUUCAAAAGUUCGAGCCGCCUUUAACGGUACCACAUGAAAACAUAGUUCCAAAGCUUUCAUGUGAAUGGUCACACAACAGUGCUUUCUCUACAUCAUAAAAAGUUAGAACCACCUUGUGUCGCAUAAUGAACAGUAUCACAAGAAAGCACUACUCAAUAGUUUUCGUUUGAAUAGUCACACAACGGAGUUUCAUCCACAGAAUGAAAAGUUCGAACCACCUUGUGUCGCAUAAUGAACAGUAUUACAAGAACGCACUACUCAAUAGUUUUCAUUUGAAUAGUCACACAAAGGUGCUUUAUCCACAUCAUGAAAAUUUAGAACCACCUUGUGUCGCAUAAUGAACAGUAUCACAAGAAAGCACUACUCAAUAGCUUUCAUUUGAAUAGUCACACAAGGGAGUUUUAUCCACAGAAUGAAAAAUUCGAACCACCUUGUACAGCAUAAUAAAGGGUACCACAAGAAAGGACUGCUCAAUAGCUUUCAUUUGAAUGGUCACACAAUAGGAUCAGGCAGUUUUAGCCGCAUCGUAUGACUCGAGGUUUUACGUCAAAACCGGGGAAAGGGUUAAUAGGCCUCCAAGAGCAUACAAAACAAACAGAACUAUUAUUUUCUGGGGAAACAACCAGGGAAAAAACCCAACAACCCUGACAAAAGACAAAGAGUUUGUUAUCGCUCUUCUUUGAAAUGAAGAAGCAAUAUCUAGGGAUUCCCCCAUGACAAGGGGCUGUCACGAUUGAUUGAGUGAAGGCAAAACAGCAGUUAGCCAAUAGAAUGGUUGUAAUAGCCACAGCUAAAACAUAGAUGGAAGUGCUUGCAGAAGUAAAAUUCACCGCAUACUUCUCCCGAAACGUAACGAACACACCGGUAAACAGAACAAGGCGUCACAAGGUUGCUCAGUUGAAAUAAGCAGUCCAACUUGGUGAGUUAGCUUUUUCAAGUUGAAGAGAACAUGGAAAAUGCGACUGGUGACAAAGAAGCGGAGCUUUCAGGGAGCAGUGAUGGACCAAAAUCGUCACCCUAUCAACGGAUCGUUAUCGCCUGCCCUGACAAUCACAUCAUCGUUGUAAAGCGAUUCACGAGCGGAGAAGUCAAAGUUAAAGAGGGGAGACUUGUUGCUAUUGAGAACAAGAAGGGACGCUAGCAAGAGGGUUUUCCCAUUAAAGCGCCACGUGAGGACAAUGGUCAAAGCAAACGAAGAAAUGAAGAAAAGGUCACCAGUUUGAGCGAGGCGGACAAUUUCUGUAGCAUGUUUUUGUAGAUUUUGUUUGUAUAAUAGAGUGUAAAUUGCACCAAUAUUAAAAAGACAUUGCUUUCCUUCAUGUUGUGAAAUUAAGCUUAUAAUCGUAAAUCGUAUUGAGUUUGUUGUCCUAAACGCGUCAAGAGUAUUUGUGUAGUUUGUGGAUCACGUCUUGCAGAUUUGCUUAGCUUGCUAUCAAUAUCUUUAACAGAUAAUUCUUUGCCCUGAUAAUGUAGAACAAGAACGUUUGAAAUACAUACCCUUUUAGCUCA